GGGAAUACCAUGAGAUUGUAGAAACUUCCUGUGGCCUUGGAUCAACAUCAGCUUGUUGUUCUUGAGAACCCCUGAGAUAGUAAGCCACUUAGUUAUAUGUUUAUCUAAUGAAUAAAUUUAUUCAAUGUUAUACAAGGUAAAGGGACACUCAAUUAACCUUCAAAUGCUUAUUCCUCAUGUAAAACUAUGAUUCACAACAUCAAUAUUAGAUGAUAUAAUACUUGUAAUAUUUGGAUUUUUCAAGAUUUUGGUUUGGCUCCACUAUCCAAAUAUAUACACAAAUUGUCUUUCUAUUAUGUAAACAAGAACAUGAGUAUUAAUGUAUUUCCAAUUCCGACUAAGCUUUAAACUAGUCGUAAACAAGAACAAUAGGUUAUAAGAUUGUGAUGGGCAAAGGCACCUCUCGGAAUUGCAAUUAAAGAAAAUUUAACACUUCUAAGUUCCAACUAAUGAACUUCAAUUCAAAACCUUAUUACAAGGCACCGAUUGCGAUUAGUAGCCAGAUGAGAAAAUCCAUCUAAGAUUUCAACCCUAGAAUAUACAAGAAAUGAACUAUAUGGAAUGGAAGAAUUACCAAAACUUGAACAUAUCGUUGAUCUUUCGGUUGACUUUGAGACGUGAGAUUACCAAGACUGCAAAACCGAUAACAAGCCCUCAAUGUUAUUAAAAUCAUAUCUCACCGCUUACUUAAUAAAAUCAUUCUAUGACAAACAAAAAAAGGGGGGAAAUAUUGAUUGGGGAAAAGAGAAAACGGAGAUUACGUUGAAUAGAAGCAAGGACGAACGGAAAAUUUGUUGUUGAAGAUACAAUUUUGCGAUUACCUUUAACCACAAGAUUUCAAAUCCUCGGCGGGUUUGCGUUUCCCAGACGCGUGUGGGCCGAUGAUGUACUAAUUCAUACUACAACAAUGGCAUUAUUGUUUAGAGUAAAUUACACUAAUCGUCCUCGUGCAAGUGUUAAAAGACACGUUUGGUCCCUAUUUUCAAAAAAUAACUCGAACCAUCCCUUAUUAUUUUAAAAUUUGCACGCUUUGUCCCUUGUUAUUUUAAAUUUACACGUUGUAGCACGCUAGUUUCUUUUUCUCUUUUCCGUUUGAAUAGGAACCAAGUGCAGCUAUCAUCGUUGAUUUUGAUUUCUGAUUUUCUGAUGUGGAUCUCAGCAUCAAUUUUGAUAUGUGGUCUGAAUCUUGCUACAGAUUGUGACCUAGUGUUGAUGGGUAGUGUCAGAAUAGGUAUCGGUGGUAUUGUUGGAGAAAGAGGAAAAGUCGAUGGCGGCUAGGGUUUUGGGUGACUGUCGGAGUGCAGAUCUUCUCUGUAAGAUCAUUAUUUGUCUAUCUCUAUCUCUCUUCUAUUUUCAUCUCCUUGACGUCGGAAUCAAACCUUCACCUCAAUGUUCAAUUCAAGCUUCACUCACAGCCAAAUAUGGUGGUGAUUAACAAUGUAAACCCCCUCACAAAAUCCGAUUAUAUUUUUGUUACUUAAUCCCAAUUGAAAACUGAAAUGAGAUUGAAUUCGUUUUCACUGGGAAAUUUUGGUAGGGGAUUCGAUUUUAGUGAUUGAUUUUGGUGGGUGAUUCGAUUUCGUGAACUAAUGUGUGCGAUUGUGUAAAAAACAAACAACACUUGUGAUAUGUUUUUGAUUUUGUGGGAAGCAGAACAUCUGAUCUCUAUCACUUUGGGUUACUGGUGGUAGAUUAUGGUGCUAGACGGUGGUAAUGGUGGUGGCAGAUGGUGUUGGUGAUGCCAGAUUGAUACCCAAACAAACAACAAACCUAAAAGAAUGGGGAUGGGUGAAUGCAGGGUCACGAGAAAGUCCGCAUUUAUUUUUUUAUUAAAUGUAAUAAACAAAUUAAAAAGAAACUAAAAAAGAAAUGAGAAAGGGCAGUAUAGUCAUUUCAGGCCAACAUGGACAAAACUUGCAAGUUCAAAACAAAUGAGGGAUGGUCUAAGUUAAUUAUUAAAAAUAGGGACUGAACGUGCUUUUUGUCACCUACACGAGAGACAAUUCGUGUAAUUUACUCUGUUGUUUAUUAAGAAGAGCCAACAGUCCAACUCCAACACAAGCCUACUUUUCUUGUUAGUUAAGGGUUGAUCUUAUAUAUCUCAUAAACUUUAUAAUCCAACAACACGAUAUAAUAAUCUCUAGCAAAUUUAUAAACACUAUAGUUUUUAGGGUGUUUGUUUAAAAUAUUUGUGCCAAAAUAAUAUAUGCUAAGAAGAACAAAGACCCCAUGCACCUUAUGGAUCUUGAAGUAUUAUUUUUGUAUCUCCCUAACCAAAUCCCCUAAUCCGAAGUGAAUUCAAAUUAAUUUUGAUUUUCACAACAUAUAUUGAAUAGUUAAAACUAAAUUCAAAAUCCGGUCCAUUCCAACCAAAUUAUUAUUUGUUUAACUCAAUUUUUUCAAUUCGCUUUUCAAGAAUCAAAACAUUUUAAAAAAUAUAUAAUUUAAAUAUUAAUAAACUCUAUAAAAAAUAUUAAUAAACUCUAUAAAAAAACUAACAUAAACUAUUUAUUUGCAAAUUUAAUUUAAUAAAAAACUACUAAUAAAAAUACAUUAUAAAUUAAUAUUUCAUAGAUAAAAAUUAGAAGUACUUAAUAAUAUACUAUAUUGAAUGAAACUUUUUGACCUGAUUUUUCACAGAAAAAUAUCACCACCACCACCACCACUUGCCGACAACCACUAUUAUUUGUCUAACCAUCGCCAAUGUUGACGUAGAUCUGAACUUUCAGUGAUGGUUUCCUCUUCAGAUUUUUCAUAGAUCAUAAGCCACCACCGUUUUUUUGUCUUUGUUUUUCGAGAUCUAAGGUGGUUUACAUUUUGAAAACCCUAGCUCCCAAACAACUCUGUAGAUCUUCGUCUUCCUAUUCAUACUUCCUUCUUCAAAGCCGUCGAACGACCAUCGAAACAAAUUUGGAAAUAUCUGUUGUCCUUCAUCUCCAUUGGAGAAGAUGGAAAAGAACUCUUGCAUUCUAUGAUAUCGCUAGAGAAGGAAACUAGAGCAGAGAAGGGCGAUCUAGAGCCACAGUUCGUCGAAAACUCGAGCCACAAUUCAUUGGCGACGAUGCAAGGGAGCAUCCCGAUUUGUAAACGUGUGCAAACUGUUUGGAAACCACCAUGAAACCACCACCGUUGUCUGCUAGAAAUCGAGUCGGAGAAGGACGACCUGAGAAAGAGGGUGAUGACUCUAAUGAUGAACAUAUCUGAACAUAUUUGGAAAUAUCUGACAAGGGUUUUUGGAUCGAAGGCAUUCCGAAGAAGAGGUCAAUGUCGUCUUUCAAAUCUUCUAGUGACAGCAAUGGCGGUUUCUGGCGAAAAUGGUGGCGGUUUCCGGCGAUGAUGGUGGUUUCCGACAGUAGGGGUGGUUAGUACCAAAGCAUUGGAGAGAGAGAGAGAGAGAGAGAGAGAGAGAGAGAGAGAGAGAGAGAGAGUAUAAAGAAACGUGG
This 3443-nucleotide long non-coding RNA is filed under the name Lactuca sativa (garden lettuce). RNAcentral describes it as "long non-coding RNA (LSAT_LNC001841)". The record is from RNAcentral. Lineage: Eukaryota; Viridiplantae; Streptophyta; Magnoliopsida; Asterales; Asteraceae.